This 254-nucleotide ribosomal RNA is filed under the name uncultured bacterium. Its description in RNAcentral is "partial 16S ribosomal RNA". It matches the Rfam family "Bacterial small subunit ribosomal RNA", at positions 524 to 776 of the family's 1533-position model. The record is from RNAcentral.
UACGUAGGGUCCGAGCGUUGUCCGGAAUUAUUGGGCGUAAAGGGCUCGUAGGCGGUUUGUCGCGUCGGGGAGUGAAAACACGGGGCUUAACCCCGUGCCUGCUUCCGAUACGGGCAGACUAGAGGUAUGCAGGGGAGAACGGAAUUCCUGGUGUAGCGGUGAAAUGCGCAGAUAUCAGGAGGAACACCGGUGGCGAAGGCGGGUCUCUGGGCAGUAACUGACGCUGAGGAGCGAAAGCGUGGGGAGCGAACAGG